GAUCAUUACAGAAUGAAAAGUGCUUAACUGCAUUUUUUCUUACACAUGUGUUUUUCUUUUUUUGAAAACUUUGCUUUGGUAGGCCUUCUAUAUGGGGCCUGCCAGAGAUUAAACUCAACCAAAUUUUAUUUAAUGUCAACCGAUUAUUUAAUAGUCAAAACUUUCAACAACGGAUCUCUUGGUUCUCGCAUCGAUGAAGAACGCAGCGAAAUGCGAUAAGUAAUAUGAAUUGCAGAUAUUCGUGAAUCAUCGAAUCUUUGAACGCACAUUGCGCCCUUUGGUAUUCCAAAGGGCAUGCCUGUUUGAGCGUCAUUUCUCCCUCAAACCCUCGGGUUUGGUGUUGAGCGAUACGCUGGGUUUGCUUGAAAGAAAGGCGGAGUAUAAACUAAUGGAUAGGUUUUUUCCACUCAUUGGUACAAACUCCAAAACUUCUUCCAAAUUCGACCUCAAAUCAGGUAGGACUACCCGCUGAACUUAAGCAUAUCAAUAAGCGGAGGA
Molecule: unclassified non-coding RNA, 498 nt
Filed under: Lodderomyces parapsilosis
Lineage: Eukaryota; Fungi; Ascomycota; Pichiomycetes; Serinales; Debaryomycetaceae
Description: Candida parapsilosis sequence contains 18S rRNA gene, ITS1, 5.8S rRNA gene, ITS2, 28S rRNA gene
Rfam family: 5.8S ribosomal RNA (bases 159-312)
Source: RNAcentral